GACGAACGCUGGCGGCGUGCUUAACACAUGCCAGUCGAACGGAAAGGCCCUGCUUUUGUGGGGUGCUCGAGUGGCGAACGGGUGAGUAACACGUGAGUAACCUGCCCUUGACUUUGGGAUAACUUCAGGAAACUGGGGCUAAUACCGGAUAGGAGCUCCUGCUGCAUGGUGGGGGUUGGAAAGUUUCGGCGGUUGGGGAUGGACUCGCGGCUUAUCAGCUUGUUGGUGGGGUAGUGGCUUACCAAGGCUUUGACGGGUAGCCGGCCUGAGAGGGUGACCGGCCACAAUGGGACUGAGAUACGGCCCAGACUCCUACGGGAGGCAGCAGUGGGGAAUAUUGCACAAUGGGCGGAAGCCUGAUGCAGCAACGCCGCGUGCGGGAUGACGGCCUUCGGGUUGUAAACCGCUUUCGCCUGUGACGAAGCGUGAGUGACGGUAAUGAGUAAAGAAGCACCGGCUAACUACGUG
RNAcentral lists this ribosomal RNA (468 nucleotides) under uncultured bacterium. Its description in RNAcentral is "partial 16S ribosomal RNA". It matches the Rfam family "Bacterial small subunit ribosomal RNA", at positions 28 to 507 of the family's 1533-position model. The record is from RNAcentral.